This 87-nucleotide small nucleolar RNA is filed under the name Ophiocordyceps sinensis. RNAcentral's name for it is "A. fumigatus snoRNA Afu_264". It matches the Rfam family "A. fumigatus snoRNA Afu_264". Lineage: Eukaryota; Fungi; Ascomycota; Sordariomycetes; Hypocreales; Ophiocordycipitaceae. RNAcentral also lists the same sequence under 1 other name. The record is from Rfam by way of RNAcentral.
UUGCAUGAUGAUAAUACACUUUACUUUAUUUUCUGGUACCUCUUAUGCUAGAGCCCUCGGCUCAAUGAAUGAACUGGACUUCUGAUU